CCACAGACAGUGAAUGGACUAUGCUACGUGGAAGAAAAGAAAAAUAAGAAGAGAAAACUGUUGGCAUUCGUGGAGCGGCGGGUAUAAAAGGCCCCAACGCAGGCCGGCCGGGCACUACUGCUCGCGUCGCCGACCAUCUUGCAUAUCUUCAACGCCGUUCCCAGCACCUGUGUAGAUGUGGAAAGAGAGAACCCUCUGGCCAUCGCACUUGAGACCUGACUCGAGCCUGGCCAGUUCAAAGGGGAGUCGUCUUGCCAACUGCGGGAACAAACUCGAGUUGAGUGUUUUGGCGCAGCGUCACAACGUGCCUUGAGACCAAACCCCUGAACAAACCCUGGACUGAUCAUCUUAACUAUUCUGCAUCGCAUUGAGCCUCAUUAAGGAGUGAAAUCCUUAAAGCCGUUCAACAGUACACAGAGUCGCGUCUCUUCGCAAAGUUUCCAGCUCGCCGCGCUCCCGCUUCGCCUUUGUGCUUCACUUGACCGUACACGCCGGCAAGAUGGUUCAGGAUCACAGCUACAAGUCCUACAACAGCUACGUCCCGGAUCCCCAGGACAGCAAAUCCACCUACAAGGCCAUGGUGACGGGGGGCUACAACAGCUCCCAGCAGCAGGCCGCCUCCAGCCCCGGCUCGAACGGCCAGCAGGGGGGCAACAAGAACAAGAAGAGCAAGACUGACGUGUGGGGUCCCAUCUAUCAGAACAGACAGCACUUCAUCGACAUGCAUAUCUGUUAGGUCUCCAGUCCUCCCUUGCUGGCCCUCGAGGCGGCAAGGCGAGCGUCUCCAUGGGCGCGUGACAGCCUGGUCGCCGCCACUAAGUAGAAUCUGUUAGUAUUUUGCUCAUAUUAAUCAAUUCGCGCCGAGGGAAGAAAGGUUCGCCACUAACAGUCUCAGCCUCGGUCUUGUCACUGAGAGCUUCGUGCCAUUGGUUGGUGUGUGUAAUAGGUACAGGUUUCAUUUUGCUAAUCUCAUUCACUUAAUUCACUGUGGCGAUGGAAGUUAUUCAUUAAAUCAUCAUUUCGUGAGUUCAUUUGGGUUUUCCUAAAUGAUGGUUCUCUUGCAAGUAUCACCACCAUAAUCUUAUUUUCUCGGGAAUGGUUACCCCUUUUGCUGAUAAUCGAGUAUCCCUCAUAAUGCAGUACAAAACAUCAUAAUUAGAUUCAUAUCUUCAUACCACAUGAGCAUGAUGAAUAAACACUUAUACUCGAAUACAAAAUUUUUAUUGUUGACCUUUUCCGUUCGACCGAGUGUGCACAAGUCCAUUUGAUCUGAAUUCUAAUUACCUUCAAAAAUGACCGACCAGUGGAUCUAAAGGUAACUGUGAAGGUGAGGAAGAUUCAGGCCGGAAGGCGCCGUGUCACGCUGCUCAUCUUUGCCUUGGCCUUACGAACAGAGGAGUUAUCAUCCAAGGAAACACAUGCGUCAUACACUAUUCCAGGUAACUGUAUUUCCAUGAAGUCAGGAAUUGAAGGUCAGGAAAUUAAUUAAUAGUAGGUGCCGGCCGUCCUAUAAGACCGCAUCUCCUAAUUUACAACAACAUAUAAGAGGUCAAGUAUUUUCUCUCGGUAUCCAUGUUUCUUACAUUAUAAUGAGCGAAAAGGCAUCUACAUAAUUAAAUAGUGGCGUGCGUGACAGCGUGUAACAAAUGAUUAGAUUUAUAAGGAUAACGAUUACCUUUUAAGGAGGAAAAUGAUAUAUUGUGUAUUUUGAAACAAGUCCAGCAGCGGCUUUCCAACCACAAAAAAGAUAAAUUCGUUAUUCACUACAGCGUAAGUGUGACCUUGAAGUAUUUCAGUAUGUCAAACCACAGAAAUCAAUUAACGAUAAUGCAUCUUACAUUCUUCUCAAAUACAUGAUUUUUUUGGUGCUUUAUUGUGCACUAAAACGUAAAAGGAAACGUUUGCAGUUAUUAUUUUUUACAAUGAUAUUCUUUCGCGCCAAAGUCGUAGGAGGAUCUAUUCCCUACCACUUGCUCAUCCCUCGUCUUGUGCCGUCAGAACACACGAGGGGGUGAAUGGCUUCCCCACCUCAUCCAUCACUAACGCCGGAUUUUUUACACGUCGUAUUGGCAUAUUUAUUAGCAUUAACUCGGCUAGUUUGGCUUUUUAGUUCCAUGGAUUGUCACAGUGUUAAGUAGACCGACAUAUUACAAACUCAUUCUUAAGAAGCGGAAUAAAAACAAUCGAUAAAACGGAGCAACCUCGCGGGUAAAAAGACGAAUCAGACACAUUAUUGUUAUCAAAGACUAACACGACGCUUGAAAUAUCAGGCGUAUGUUUCCAGUGCCUCUCUAGACGCAUCUGUGCCUGGCCAGGGUCAUGAAUACGUCCGGAAGGGCACAUAUGGUUGAUCCGUGGUGGCUGUGCGUGGGAAUGGGGGAAGGGGGCAAUGCUCUCUCUCUCUCUCUCUCUCUCUCUCUCUCUCUCUCUCUCUCUCUCUCUCUCUCUCUCUCUCUCUCUCUCUCUCUCUCUCUCUCUCUCUCUCUCUCUCUCUCUCUCUCUCUCUCUCUCUCUCUCUCUCUCUCUCUCUCUCUCUCUCUCUCUCUCUCUCUCUCUCUCUCUCUCAAGUCUACGGGGCCGACACUGCAUACUUGGGGCGGUGAGUCAUAUAGUUAAAUUGUCUAUCACUGACAGGUGGCUAAUAUCCCUGUCAUCUAACAUACACCAACACUGCUCGGAAGAGAUACAGCACAUAUUUCAUCAGGUGUGACACGCUCAUGCUGGUAAAUGCUGCUUAAAAUUACUUCAUAGUUAUUGUAUCCGACUGCAGUACUUAAGAAUGUCUAUACUCUUCCACUUAUUGUGUAUGAAUGCAGUCGUGUUUUUUUCCAAAGUCGUGAAAAUACGUGGAUAUCCUAAUUUGUGCUCACCUGACCUACGUGACAGAGCUCAAGUAGGGUGCGCGCCAGAACGGUACACCUGCUUUCACCUUAAGAAGACCUUGCCUCUACCUGAACCUGGACACGUGCACACUAGGGAUCAGUGUAAAGAGGUGACCCCUGCCAUACAUACACACAGACAGACAGGUAGACAGACAAACAGACAGACACAUACAGAUAGACAGACAGACAGACAAUGGGACAGUUGGAGACUUACACACACACACACACACACACACACACACACCAAUUUCGACUAGCUAGACAUAACUUCAUUUUUUCCAUGUGUGUCUAUUUCAGUUCGAGAUAGGCUGCAAUAGCAAUAAUAACAACAAUAAUGAUGAUGAUGGUGAUGAUGGAGAUGAUGAUGAUGAUAGUGACCUCCAGAAAUCCCCGUGGCGUAAGAAGAGAGUCAGACGAGGGUUGUGAGAAAUCUUUUUUCAUCAUGUCUGGAAGUUCCUUUGUAUCACCCAAGGGAAGCAUGAGCUGAUCUUACGUGGCUGUGUGUGUGUGUGUGUGUGUGUGUGUGUGUGUGUGUGUGUGUGUGUUACUCAUGGCCAAGCCUCGUCAUCUUUCAUACAGAAGAUGGAGGAGGAGGAAGCAAGUGAGAAGGAUGAAGAAGAAAAAGAAGGAAAGAAAGAAUAGGAGGAAGAAAAAGAAGAUGGAAAAUUGCAAAGCUAUAUCUGCGUUACGUCAACUGAUCAAAAGCAAAAAGUACGAUGUAAGGAAAUGGAUGAAUUAAAAUCAAACUAGUUUCAUUAUCAUAACAAUGAUAAAAAAUGAUGGAAAAAGAAAAGGAAAAGAUGAUGACGGCGACGACGACGACGACGACGACGAAGAAGAAGAAGAAGAAGAAGAAGAAGAAGAAGAAAAAAGAAGAAGAAGAAGAAGAAGAAGAAAAAAAAGGUAAAAGAAAAGGGAUAAAUGAACCCUAAAGCGCAGCAGACAAACGUUUUAAGGUCACUCGGAAGGAAGGAAAGGUAAAGGAAAAGUCCCACACUUAAACCUGCAGACCAAUUGCAUAGCAAGCAAACCCCGGGCAAUGACGUCAAUGCGAGACUGACCAAUCUGAUGACGAGAAACCGUCCAGUUGAUGACGUCAAUAGAGGAAGAAGAAAAAAAAAGAGGAAGUCAGGAAACCCAGUCUUGAGUGGUGGCGUGAUUAAUUUCCUUUCCUCGGAUCCAGGACUGAGAUGGUAGUUCAUCGUUUCUGGGACAUGUAUGGUGGAUUCAGAGUUUACUCAUUUGAUCCAUAUUCAUCUUGGUAAUUUAAGAAGAGGUAAAAUAAAUCCACUUCCUCCCGUCGGUGUGGAAGCAGCGCGGCACAAACGUCAGCAGAACCAGUCAUGCAAGGUGAUACUGAUGAUGAUGGGAACGUUGCCGAGUCUCGACGGCCCGCCGGCACCAAGGCGUGUUGGGUUGCACGUAGGCAAAGCGCGUCCGCUUCCUAUUUAAGGGGAGCCAGCCGCCACCUGCAGUCAGUCUACUCCAGACACACAGCAAAGAAGGCAACAGUCACUCCCAACUCUACUGAUUUCUCAUCUGUAGUGACAGUUGUCUGCUGUCUCCCAUCAACGUUCUUACUUUAUUCAGGCAUCAGUCAUCCCUCGUGAGUCAACAAUGGGUCAGAACAAGGUGUACACCUCUACCGCCUACGGCCACCCCGAGGCAAGCAACAAUGGCUCGUACAAAGCCACGGUGAAGAGUGCCACCGCCCAGCAGGCCGCCACCUCUCGACCCAGCACGAGCGGCCGCAGCGGCGAGAACAAGGGCAAGCCCGACGUGUGGGGGCCGAUAUACCGCAACAGGCAGAACUUUGUGGACAUGCACAUCUGCUAGGGCACGCCGCCGCUGGCCGGACUUGGGACCAGUUCGUUAACUGCCAGACGGCUGAAGCUCAGAGGCGAGGCACACACACGUCGCCCCGUGGAGCACGACUCGCCGCGGCGUCCAGACGGACAACAACACAUCGGUUGUGCCUGGGGGUGUGCCCAGGAGGACCACUGGUGAAGACGCUGUGUCUGGUGAUGACCAAGUCUCCUUGUCGAUGACAGUCGACGAGAAGGCGUGUCACAGGCGUGUCACCACCCACCCGAGCAGAGAUGCUGUGUUGCUGUCCUUUUCUGCCCCCCAUCCCCCCUAUCCUGCCACGCCCCUUGUGGUGACAGAAGCACGGCCCUCACAACAGUGCCACUGCUGGCACCUCACUGCACUGCCCUCAGCUAUCCACCCACAUAAACUGUUUUGUUCCCGUAUACGAGGAACAUUUAGAAUGUAGCAGAGCACUUUUUACUUAUUAAACAUGAAUAAUAAAUAUGUUAUGAUAUAAUCGUGACGGUAAAAUACGA
Eriocheir sinensis (Chinese mitten crab) is the source of this 5227-nucleotide long non-coding RNA. RefSeq lists it as uncharacterized. The record is from RefSeq and is a predicted model, not a curated record. The transcript is spliced from 6 exons. Lineage: Eukaryota; Metazoa; Arthropoda; Malacostraca; Decapoda; Varunidae.